This 868-nucleotide ribosomal RNA is filed under the name uncultured bacterium. RNAcentral describes it as "bacterial SSU rRNA". It matches the Rfam family "Bacterial small subunit ribosomal RNA", at positions 99 to 975 of the family's 1533-position model. The record is from RNAcentral.
CGAACGGGUGAGUAACGCGUGGGUAUCUACCUUUAAGUCCAAGAUAACUUCUCGAAAGGGAAGCUAAUAGUGGAUAAACUCCUUGUGGAGUAAAGACAGCUUCUGUCGCUUAAAGAUGAGCCUGCGUCCCAUUAGCUAGUUGGUAAGAUAACAGCUUACCAAGGCAACGAUGGGUAGCCGGCCUGAGAGGGCGAUCGGCCACACUGGGACUGAGACACGGCCCAGACUCCUACGGGAGGCUGCAGUGGGGAAUCUUCCGCAAUGGGCUAACGCCUGACGGAGCAACGCCGCGUGAGUGAUGAAGGCUUUCGAGUCGUAAAGCUCUGUCUUUUGGGACGAACCCCCUGGUUGGAAGCCAGGCUUGACGGUACCAAAAGAGGAAGCCCCGGCUAAUUACGUGCCAGCAGCCGCGGUAAUACGUAAGGGGCAAGCGUUGUCCGGAAUUACUGGGCGUAAAGGGUACGCAGGCGGUCUGGCAAGUCAGAGGUGAAAGCCACCGGCUUAACCGGUGAGGUGCCUUUGAAACUGUUAGACUUGAGGACAGGAGAGGAAAGUGGAAUUCCCGGUGUAGUGGUGAAAUACGUAGAGAUCGGGAAGAAUACCAAUGGCGAAAGCAGCUUUCUGGCCUGGUCCUGACGCUGAGGUACGAAAGCCAGGGUAGCAAACGGGAUUAGAUACCCCGGUAGUCCUGGCUGUAAACGAUGGACACUGAGUGUUGGGGGUUAAACUCCCUCAGUGCUGCAGUUAACGCGUUAAGUGUCCCGCCUGGGGAUUACGACCGCAAGGUUGAAACUCAAAGGAAUUGACGGGGGCCCGCACAAGCGGUGGAGCAUGUGGCUUAAUUCGAUGCAACGCGAAGAACCUUACC